GCCAAGCUGACCUGGAGUUAAACUCCAGCUUCAAAGAAAGCAAGCUCUGUGAUCUUGGGCAAGGAACUUAACCUAUCUGAGCUGCAUUCAGCUGAUGUUGCUAGCCUGAGGUCAUUGUCAUCACAGAUGACUUUCACUUGAUAACUCUGUCAUCAGCCUUGAGCCUUACAGGGAGCACAGUCCAGUUGUGUUUAAUGGUUGUUGUAUCACUGGGUAUGAAGAUCACAUGACAGACCAUAUAUUGCCAUACAAGGAUUGAGGCAAGAACUAUCAGCAGAGCAGAAGCCCAUCAUCAGUGCCCCAGCCAUACAGAGCUGUGUCAUAUGAAGAUCUUCAAAAAUGCUAUUAUGGUUAAUAUUAAUGAUAUAAAUGAAAAUUACGAAUAGUUAUAACCUUCCAUGCUGCCUCAGGAGAAGAAAUUAUGCUGAAUAUCAAAGAAAUCAUUACCUUUGAUUCUGAGAAUACAGCCAUAAUGUAUAGCAUAAUGUGCUUUGUUUGAAAGAAAUUGAGCAGCAGAAGAGGUCUUAAGUGG
This is a long non-coding RNA of Heterocephalus glaber (naked mole-rat), 532 nucleotides long. The record is from Ensembl. Lineage: Eukaryota; Metazoa; Chordata; Mammalia; Rodentia; Bathyergidae.